RNAcentral lists this ribosomal RNA (497 nucleotides) under uncultured bacterium. Its description in RNAcentral is "partial 16S ribosomal RNA". It matches the Rfam family "Bacterial small subunit ribosomal RNA", at positions 28 to 507 of the family's 1533-position model. The record is from RNAcentral.
GAUGAACGCUGGCGGCGUGCCUAAUACAUGCAAGUCGAGCGAACGGACGAGAAGCUUGCUUUUCUGAUGUUAGCGGCGGACGGGUGAGUAACACGUGGAUAACCUACCUAUAAGACUGGGAUAACUUCGGGAAACCGGAGCUAAUACCGGAUAAUAUUUUGAACCGCAUGGUUCAAAAGUGAAAGACGGUCUUGCUGUCACUUAUAGAUGGAUCCGCGCUGCAUUAGCUAGUUGGUCAGGUAACGGCUUACCAAGGCAACGAUGCAUAGCCGACCUGAGAGGGUGAUCGGCCACACUGGAAGUGAGACACGGUCCAGACUCCUACGGGAGGCAGCAGUAGGGAAUCUUCCGCAAAGGGCGAAAGCCUGACGGAGCAACGCCGCGUGAGUGAUGAAGGUCUUCGGAUCGUAAAACUCUGUUAUUAGGGAAGAACAUAUGUGUAAGUAACUGUGCACAUCUUGACGGUACCUAAUCAGAAAGCCACGGCUAACUACGUG